RNAcentral lists this unclassified non-coding RNA (158 nucleotides) under plant metagenome. Its description in RNAcentral is "partial contains small subunit ribosomal RNA, internal transcribed spacer 1, and 5.8S ribosomal RNA". The record is from RNAcentral.
UUUCCGUAGGUGAACCUGCGGAAGGAUCAUUAACGAGAUUGGGUGAGGCGUGGGCGAGAGCCCUCGGAGCAGACACCUGAAAGGGUGGCUGUAGACAAAUGCAAAUAUAAAUACAACACUAUAUUUUAAAACUUUCAACAACGGAUCUCUUGGCUCUG